UGAUGGUGAUGAGGACAAUUUCUGAGCAUGCCCUCAAAUCUCUCCUAAGCUUGGUAGAGAUUCUCUCCAUCUUUCUAUCUGAAACUCAAUAUCUCUCUCUUCAAUCG
RNAcentral lists this small nucleolar RNA (107 nucleotides) under Capsicum annuum. Its description in RNAcentral is "Plant small nucleolar RNA R71". It matches the Rfam family "Plant small nucleolar RNA R71". Rfam says of the family: R71 is a member of the C/D box family of snoRNAs containing the C (UGAUGA) and D (CUGA) box motifs. Multiple nearly identical copies of this snoRNA have been identified in Arabidopsis, and it is thought to function as a 2'-O-ribose methylation guide for 18S ribosomal RNA. The record is from Rfam by way of RNAcentral. Lineage: Eukaryota; Viridiplantae; Streptophyta; Magnoliopsida; Solanales; Solanaceae.